RNAcentral lists this ribosomal RNA (492 nucleotides) under uncultured bacterium. Its description in RNAcentral is "partial 16S ribosomal RNA". It matches the Rfam family "Bacterial small subunit ribosomal RNA", at positions 29 to 507 of the family's 1533-position model. The record is from RNAcentral.
AGUGAACGCUGGCGGCAGGCCUUACACAUGCAAGUCGAACGGCAGCACAGUAAGAGUUUGCUCUUACGGGUGGCGAGUGGCGGACGGGUGAAGUAUACCUCGGCAUCUCCUUUUUCGUGGGGGAUCACGUCGGGAAACUUACGCUUAUACCGUAUACUACCUACGGGUGAAAGCAGGAGCUCUUCGUACCUUUCGCGCUUGUAUGAGCGGAUGUCGGAUUAGCGAGGUGUCGGGGUAAAGGCCCACACAGGCGAAGAUCCGUAGCGGGUCUGAGAGGAUGAUGCGCCACACUGGGAGUGAGACACGGCCCAGACGCCUACGGGAGGCAGCAGUGGGGAAGUGUGGAAAAGGGGGGCAACCCGGAGACAGCCAUGCCGAGUGUAUGAAGAAGGCCUUAGGGUUGUAAAGUACGUUUGGUAGGGAAGAAAAGGCAGAUGGGAAUAAUGGCUGAUACUGACGGUACCUAAAGAAUAAGCACCGGCUAACUACGUG